GGAGUUAGCCGGUGCUUCUUCUGCGAGUAACGUCACAGAUGUAAGGUAUUAACUUACACCCUUUCCUCCUCGCUGAAAGUGCUUUACAACCCGAAGGCCUUCUUCACACACGCGGCAUGGCUGCAUCAGGGUUUCCCCCAUUGUGCAAUAUUCCCCACUGCUGCCUCCCGUAGGAGUCUGGGCCGUGUCUCAGUCCCAGUGUGGCUGAUCAUCCUCUCAGACCAGCUAGGGAUCGUCGCCUAGGUGAGCCUUUACCUCACCUACUAGCUAAUCCCACCUGGGCUUAUCCAUCAGCGCAAGGCCCGAAGGUCCCCUGCUUUCCCCCGUAGGGCCGUAUGCGGUAUUAGCAGUCGUUUCCAACUGUUAUCCCCCACAAAUGGGCAAAUUCCCAGGCAUUACUCACCCGUCCGCCGCUCGUCAUCUUCAAAGCAAGCUUUUGAAAUGUUACCGCUCGACUUGCAUGUGUUAGGCCUGCCGCCAGCGUUCAAUCUGAGCCAGAAUCAAACUCUGA
This 511-nucleotide ribosomal RNA is filed under the name uncultured bacterium. Its description in RNAcentral is "partial 16S ribosomal RNA". The record is from RNAcentral.